AGUGAACGCUGGCGGUAGGCCUAACACAUGCAAGUCGAGCGGCAGCACAGUAAGAGCUUGCUCUUACGGGUGGCGAGUGGCGGACGGGUGAGGAAUACAUCGGAAUCUACUUUUUCGUGGGGGAUAACGUAGGGAAACUUACGCUAAUACCGCAUACGACCUACGGGUGAAAGCAGGGGAUCUUCGGACCUUGCGCGACUGAAUGAGCCGAUGUCGGAUUAGCUAGUUGGCGGGGUAAAGGCCCACCAAGGCGACGAUCCGUAGCUGGUCUGAGAGGAUGAUCAGCCACACUGGAACUGAGACACGGUCCAGACUCCUACGGGAGGCAGCAGUGGGGAAUAUUGGACAAUGGGCGCAAGCCUGAUCCAGCCAUACCGCGUGGGUGAAGAAGGCCUUCGGGUUGUAAAGCCCUUUUGUUGGGAAAGAAAAGCAGCAGGUUAAUACCCCGCUGUUCUGACGGUACCCAAAGAAUAAGCACCGGCUAACUUCGUG
Molecule: ribosomal RNA, 492 nt
Filed under: uncultured bacterium
Lineage: Bacteria
Description: partial 16S ribosomal RNA
Rfam family: Bacterial small subunit ribosomal RNA
Source: RNAcentral